RNAcentral lists this non-coding RNA (31 nucleotides) under Mus musculus (house mouse). The record is from RNAcentral. Lineage: Eukaryota; Metazoa; Chordata; Mammalia; Rodentia; Muridae.
UUCAUGUUUCCUAUUAGCACAAGAUCUGCCA